RNAcentral lists this long non-coding RNA (795 nucleotides) under Callithrix jacchus (white-tufted-ear marmoset). Its description in RNAcentral is "lncRNA (ENSCJAG00000082375.1)". The record is from RNAcentral. Lineage: Eukaryota; Metazoa; Chordata; Mammalia; Primates; Cebidae.
GAGUCCAGCUUGCUUGCAGGGAUAAUUCUGCUAGUAUCAUUAAAUACAUGAAUCAUCUCAAUCAUCCACAGAAGAAAUACCACUUUGGGGCAAAUGCUUGAGACCACAGCACGAGGGAGUCUAGAUGAGAACCCAGCCUUCAGAUUCCUACUGUGUCUCACAUGGAAAAGCCUAAACUAAAAAUCACUACUCUGAAUGGCAAAAAGCAACCAUGAGUAGAGAGCCCUGUAUCAGAGCAAGACCUUCACCUCUCUGAAACUCAGUUUCCAGAAGAAGAAAUUGAGGCUCCGACAGGAGAUGUGACUUGCUGAAGGUCCAAACCUGCAGCCUAGAGGAACCGUGUUUUGAUCCUCUGAUGUGCUAUGCUCAGGAUGCAUCCUGCCCAUGGUCAUCACCAGGGAUGGCUUGUUUGUUAGCAAGUUGUGCAAAGAGGCCUCCAGGAGCUUUCUAUGGAAGAUAUUUGUGAGCCAGGGCCACCGUAAGAAUGAAAUGGAGGCAGCUUGCAUGGGUAUUCUUAGGGCAUUCCCAAGAAAACAUCUGCACACAAAUCCAGGCAUUUCUCCUUGGACUUCAUCUCUGACUUCUCUCCUGGCUUCUGAACCUCUGUGGACUUGGCUUGGGCACCUCAUCGAUAGGCCAAGGUGGAAGGCGGCAAAACCUGGGCUCCUUUACGCUUCUCACUCAACAGUUACAGAAAUGCAAGUUGGGACCUUUUACGCUAAAGAUAACAUCCAUGUGUCCCAUUGUACUUUAAAAUGGCAAAGAAGAUUUCUCCUCCCAGGAAAACUGUUCUAA